UGGGGGAUAUUGCACAAUGGGCGAAAGCCUGAUGCAGCGACGCCGCGUGGGGGAUGAAGGCCUUCGGGUUGUAAACUUCUUUUGCUCUGAACAAGGCAUGCUUUUGGGGUUGGUUAAUGGUAGGGGUGGAUUACCGCGGCCUAAUUCGGUGCCACCAGCGGGGGUAAUACGUAGGGCGCGAGCGUUGUCCGGAAUUAUUGGGCGUAAAGGGCUUGUAGGUGGCUGGUUGCGUCUGUCGUGAAAGCUCAUGGCUUAACUGUGGGUUUGCGGUGGGUACGGGCUGGCUUGAGUGCAGUAGGGGAGGCUGGAAUUCCUGGUGUAGCGGUGGAAUGCGCAGAUAUCAGGAGGAAUACCGGUGGCGAAGGCGGGUCUCUGGGCUGUUACUGACGCUGAGGAGCGAAAGCGUGGGGAGCGAACAGG
Molecule: ribosomal RNA, 420 nt
Filed under: Fusobacteriota bacterium
Lineage: Bacteria; Fusobacteriati; Fusobacteriota
Description: Fusobacteria bacterium partial 16S ribosomal RNA
Rfam family: Bacterial small subunit ribosomal RNA
Source: RNAcentral